RNAcentral lists this ribosomal RNA (236 nucleotides) under uncultured bacterium. RNAcentral's name for it is "partial 16S ribosomal RNA". It matches the Rfam family "Bacterial small subunit ribosomal RNA", at positions 100 to 333 of the family's 1533-position model. The record is from RNAcentral.
CCGGCACGGGUGAGUAACACGUAUCCAACCUGCCGUCUACUCUUGGACAGCCUUCUGAAAGGAAGAUUAAUCCAGGAUGGCAUCAUGAGCCCACAUGUUCUCAUGAUUAAAGGUAUUCCGGUAGACGAUGGGGAUGCGUUCCAUUAGAUAGUAGGCGGGGUAACGGCCCACCUAGUCGACGAUGGAUAGGGGUUCUGAGAGGAAGGUCCCCCACAUUGGAACUGAGACACGGUCAA